GGGGAAGUCUGCCAAACAAAUGCAGUUGUGGGUAUUCACAGGUCGCGUUUUCCGAUUACACAACACACUGCACGCUCCUAUAUAAAACAGCCGUGGCCUCCAGUCCAGCAUUAUUUGUCGGACCAACCAUUUCCCAGAUAAAACCAUGAUCAGCACCAAGACCCUCCUUGUCGGACUUCUUGUCCUGGCUCUGGUCUUCACCAUCGCCACAGCACAGUUCGGAGGAGGCUACCGUGGUGGCUUCGGUGGUGGACGAGGCUUCGGUGGUGGCGGACGUGGAUUUGGUGGUGGCGGACGUGGAUUUGGUGGUGGACGAGGAUUUGGUGGUGGACGUGGAUUUGGAGGAGGCUAUAGAGGCUGAUUCUUCACUUUCCCAUCAACACUUGACCCAGUCAUUUGAGAGCGCCGUGGCCAAGGGGCCAGUAAAACGCCGUGAUAUGAGAGAGGCCUGCGGGAUCCGGCUGGUCCUGUGAUCGCAGGCGUUUGAAAAGUGAAUAUGCCUUUGUUGAACAUGACCUGGAAUAAAAAUUUCUUCUUUGACUGUCAUCCACGUA
Molecule: long non-coding RNA, 554 nt
Organism: Rhipicephalus microplus (southern cattle tick)
Lineage: Eukaryota; Metazoa; Arthropoda; Arachnida; Ixodida; Ixodidae
Source: RefSeq, a predicted model, not a curated record